RNAcentral lists this transfer RNA (67 nucleotides) under Diadromus collaris. RNAcentral's name for it is "tRNA-Asn". Lineage: Eukaryota; Metazoa; Arthropoda; Insecta; Hymenoptera; Ichneumonidae. The record is from RNAcentral.
UUAAUUGAAACCAAAUUAGAGGUUAAUUAUUGUUAAUAAUUAAAUUGAAAUUAAAUUUCCAAUUAAA